Small nuclear RNA from Eptesicus fuscus (big brown bat), 104 nucleotides. Lineage: Eukaryota; Metazoa; Chordata; Mammalia; Chiroptera; Vespertilionidae. The record is from RefSeq and is a predicted model, not a curated record.
GUACUCACUUUAGCAGCACAUAUACUAAAAUUGGAACGAUACAGAGGUUAGCAUGGCCCCUGAGCAAAGAUGUCACACAAAUUCAAGAAGCCUUACAUAUUUUU